This 361-nucleotide ribosomal RNA is filed under the name uncultured bacterium. RNAcentral describes it as "bacterial SSU rRNA". It matches the Rfam family "Bacterial small subunit ribosomal RNA", at positions 30 to 392 of the family's 1533-position model. The record is from RNAcentral.
AUUGAACGCUGGCGGCAUGCCUUACACAUGCAAGUCGAACGGCAGCACGGGAGCAAUCCUGGUGGCGAGUGGCGAACGGGUGAGUAAUAUAUCGGAACGUGCCCAGUCGUGGGGGAUAACGUAGCGAAAGCUACGCUAAUACCGCAUACGAUCUAUGGAUGAAAGCGGGGGAUCGCAAGACCUCGCGCGAUUGGAGCGGCCGAUAUCAGAUUAGGUAGUUGGUGAGGUAAAGGCUCACCAAGCCGACGAUCUGUAGCUGGUCUGAGAGGACGACCAGCCACACUGGGACUGAGACACGGCCCAGACUCCUACGGGAGGCAGCAGUGGGGAAUUUUGGACAAUGGNGCAAGCCUGAUCCAGC